RNAcentral lists this ribosomal RNA (253 nucleotides) under uncultured bacterium. RNAcentral's name for it is "partial 16S ribosomal RNA". It matches the Rfam family "Bacterial small subunit ribosomal RNA", at positions 524 to 776 of the family's 1533-position model. The record is from RNAcentral.
UACGUAGGUGGCAAGCGUUGUCCGGAAUUAUUGGGCGUAAAGCGCGCGCAGGUGGUUUCUUAAGUCUGAUGUGAAGGCCCACGGCUCAACCGUGGAGGGUCAUUGGAAACUGGGGAACUUGAGUGCAGGAGAGAAGAGUGGAAUUCCACGUGUAGCGGUGAAAUGCGUAGAGAUGUGGAGGAACACCAGUGGCGAAGGCGACUCUUUGGCCUGUAACUGACACUGAGGCGCGAAAGCGUGGGGAGCAAACAGG